UGUUGGCUUUUUUCUUAAAUAAAUGAAUUAUUAAAGGGAAAAUCUUAAUGGGGAGUCAUUCAUUCAACACCUUACCUCUGAGGUUGGAUGAGCUGCUAGUUCUGUUUCCUUUUGUUAUCAUAGGCCAGUGAGCAAAGAAGAUCUGGAUGAAGUUAAAAGUUGAUUUCAAGACACUCCUUCUGAGACCAAUAUGCUCUCCAUAAUCCUUUCAUUGCGUACAUUUUAUUAAAAUUGAUGAUUGACCAUUGCAAAGCAUCUCGAAGUUGUUGCCUUUGGUUUUUAUCUAGCAAAAGUUAAUGUGCUGCUCAGUAUUGACUUGAGUCCAGAAUCUGAUGCUUGAUAUCUAGCAGGCUACUUUGCUUUGCAUGCAAACUCUAGGAGAACAUGUAAAUGGAGGAUCAUGUGCUCGCCACCGUACAAUGGCGAUUAGAGUGGCUGCUAGCUCUGUGAUGUAGCAGAAUAGGCUUGAUACCAAGGAAGAGCUGGAUGAAGUUAAAAGUGAUUAAAAAACUAUAUUUUACGGGACUAGGUUUUAAAAAGGAACAAUCUGAUCCAAAUAAGCACACUCAAAUAGAUGGGAUAAGGCUUGGUGCAGAAGUUUUUGUUCUCUUAUAGAACUCUUGUUUUCUGUUAAAUGGCUCCUAUGCAGAGACCUAAGAUCCAAUUUUUGACCUUCUUUCCCAUUCA
RNAcentral lists this long non-coding RNA (687 nucleotides) under Phoenix dactylifera (date palm). Its description in RNAcentral is "long non-coding RNA (PDAC_LNC009925)". Lineage: Eukaryota; Viridiplantae; Streptophyta; Magnoliopsida; Arecales; Arecaceae. The record is from RNAcentral.